GACGAACGCUGGCGGCGUGCCUAAUACAUGCAAGUAGAACGCUGAAGGAGGAGCUUGCUUCUCUGGAUGAGUUGCGAACGGGUGAGUAACGCGUAGGUAACCUGCCUGGUAGCGGGGGAUAACUAUUGGAAACGAUAGCUAAUACCGCAUAAUAGUAGAUGUUGCAUGACAUUUGCUUAAAAGGUGCAAUUGCAUCACUACCAGAUGGACCUGCGUUGUAUUAGCUAGUUGGUGGGGUAACGGCUCACCAAGGCGACGAUACAUAGCCGACCUGAGAGGGUGAUCGGCCACACUGGGACUGAGACACGGCCCAGACUCCUACGGGAGGCAGCAGGAGGGAAUCUUCGGCAAUGGACGGAAGGCUGACCGAGCAACGCCGCGGGAGGGAAGAAGGUUGUCGGAUCGGAAAGCUCGGUUGUAAGAGAAGAACGAGUGUGAGAGUGGAAAGUUCACACUGUGACGGUAUCUGACCAGAAAGGGACGGCUAACUACGUG
This 495-nucleotide ribosomal RNA is filed under the name uncultured bacterium. RNAcentral describes it as "partial 16S ribosomal RNA". It matches the Rfam family "Bacterial small subunit ribosomal RNA", at positions 28 to 507 of the family's 1533-position model. The record is from RNAcentral.